This 22-nucleotide microRNA is filed under the name Mus musculus (house mouse). Its description in RNAcentral is "mmu-miR-6902-5p". Lineage: Eukaryota; Metazoa; Chordata; Mammalia; Rodentia; Muridae. The record is from miRBase by way of RNAcentral.
UUCCUCACAUUGUCACAUGAAG